AUUGAACGCUGGCGGCAUGCCUAACACAUGCAAGUCGAACGGCAGCGCGGGACUAACCCUUGCAGCGAGUGGCGGACGGGUGAGUAAUGCAUAGGAACGUGCCCGGUCGUGGGGGAUAACGCAGCGAAACGUGUGCUAAUACCGCAUACGAUCUGCGGAUGAAAGCGGGGGAUCUCCGGACCUUACGCUAUUGGAUGAGCCGAGGGCGGAUUAGCUAGUUGGUGGGGUAAAGGCUUACCAAGCCGACGAUCCGUAACUGGUCUGAGAGGAUGACCAGCCACACUGGAACUGAGACACGGUCCAGACUCCUACGGGAGGCAGCAGUGGGGAAUUUUGGACAAUGGGCGAAAGCCUGAUCCAGCCAUGCCGCGUGUAGGAAGAAGGUCUUCGGGUUGUAAAGUGCUUUUGUAUGGGAGGAAACGGUGUAUUUUAAUAAAGAAGGGUUAUGACGGUACCGUAAGAAUAAGCACCGGCUAACUACGUG
This 484-nucleotide ribosomal RNA is filed under the name uncultured bacterium. RNAcentral's name for it is "partial 16S ribosomal RNA". It matches the Rfam family "Bacterial small subunit ribosomal RNA", at positions 30 to 507 of the family's 1533-position model. The record is from RNAcentral.